GGAAGAUUGGCAGAGCUUGGCUUAUUGUACCUGACUUGAAAUCAGGCGGGGGUUAAUAGCCCUCCGUGGGUUCGAAUCCCACAUCUUCCUCCA
This 93-nucleotide transfer RNA is filed under the name Xanthomonas phage XbC2. RNAcentral describes it as "tRNA-Ser". It matches the Rfam family "tRNA". Rfam says of the family: Transfer RNA (tRNA) molecules are approximately 80 nucleotides in length. Their secondary structure includes four short double-helical elements and three loops (D, anti-codon, and T loops). Further hydrogen bonds mediate the characteristic L-shaped molecular structure. tRNAs have two regions of fundamental functional importance: the anti-codon, which is responsible for specific mRNA codon recognition, and the 3' end, to which the tRNAs corresponding amino acid is attached (by aminoacyl-tRNA synthetases). tRNAs cope with the degeneracy of the genetic code in two manners: having more than one tRNA (with a specific anti-codon) for a particular amino acid; and 'wobble' base-pairing, i.e. permitting non-standard base-pairing at the 3rd anti-codon position. The record is from RNAcentral. Lineage: Duplodnaviria; Heunggongvirae; Uroviricota; Caudoviricetes.